This is a long non-coding RNA of Culex quinquefasciatus (southern house mosquito), 1119 nucleotides long. RefSeq lists it as uncharacterized. The transcript has 3 exons. The record is from RefSeq and is a predicted model, not a curated record. NCBI's taxonomy places the organism in Eukaryota, Metazoa, Arthropoda, Insecta, Diptera, Culicidae.
UCUCGUGUAACCGUGUACGCCUAAGUAUAAAAUGUAAACAAACAUUUUGGUAGUGCCGGUGGUGAGUGAGUUGUCCACGAAGCGAAUCAAAUCCGGACGCAGCCACAGCCAGGAGUCGGACGCGGACACAGCAGCGGAAGGUGGGUGGUGCCGGUGCGGGACGAGGUCGGGGGGAAAGUUGGUUUUCGAAAAAGGACAAGGCCAGCUUCCUGCAGGACCUGCAGCUGUUUCACGACCGGAGUUGGACGCAGUUUAUGCGGUUGCCGAAGAUCGGAGGUCGGGAUGUGGAUUUGCACCGGUUGUAUUCGGUGGUGGUGGCCAGGUGGACGAAUUGAAGUUGAAGCAGAUUUACAUCCGCUUUUCGAACAAGUACGAUAAAGUAAAUUUUAACGGUGAGGAGAAGGAUCCGACGGAAGAGGGAAACGACGAGAUGCGCCAUAAUCGGAGGGGGUCAGCGCGGAUGUUGCACUCGGUGCCGGCGGUUUACGACCAUCAGCAGCAUUAUGUGCCGGAAGUGAUGACGGGACAGUGUGGGAUGUCCUGAGGGUCCGCAGUCCAUUUCUCGUUGCGGGACAUGUUUGACGAUUAUUACCUAAACAUCCAGGAGAACAGUUUGCACCAGUUCUGGAUGGACCGUCUGUACGAAAGCCGCAAGUCCUGGAGUUGACGUACUCGGAUUACUUCCAGAGGUUGGAGCGAGAUUCGACGAACCUGAUCAAGAACAUCUACCUGGAAUACCGAAGAAGUCACCGCAACUACCGCCCACAAACGCAGCUUCAGCGGGAUGAACUUUGACGGCGAGUUGGAACAUCUGUGUCAUUCUCGAAGGAGGACGAAGUGAUCGGGAAUUAUCCGUUCAGGCGUUUUACUUCCCAGCCGGAAAACGUCGACUUCCCUUCCCGAAUCAACAACCAAUGGCCAACUCCGCUAAGCCUGUCCUGAUGAUGGCCGGCAACGAGACCACCCUGUUCUCUACAUCGCUGUCGCGCUCCAAAAUGAAGGCCGCGAUGUUGCUGCCCAACGAAACGUCCAUCCGUAACCUGCUCAGCAUGGGGCCUUCGGACGUGACUGGUUCGGUUCAACUUGGACGCGGAAGUUAGCCUACCAUAAGCAGAUGCG